Molecule: long non-coding RNA, 686 nt
Organism: Heterocephalus glaber (naked mole-rat)
Lineage: Eukaryota; Metazoa; Chordata; Mammalia; Rodentia; Bathyergidae
Source: Ensembl
GUAGCAAGGCGAAUCCGGAUAGGAGACGCCCAGGGAGGCGGGAAGGGGUGGAAAACUCUUUCAUUGCAUUGAAGGACCUGGCUGGGUCUCUCCCAAAGAAGUCAGGCCUGGAAUCUCAGCGGGUUGCAAGCAGGAGGGACAGAAGCAGAGGCGGAGUACUCGGCAGCCUUCGGUUGGCUAGUUAUUUGACAUUUUUGACAUCUCUGAGGCUUGGCUCCAUUGGCGUUGCCCUGGGAAUAGAUCGAGCAGAGUUGAUACAAAGCCCAGCAGCAGAAGGCAGACCAAAGAGCUCGGCCGGGACCUGCCGGGUUCCUCCCGGGCCUGUGAUUCCAGGAGCUGUCACGGUUACUCAGUUCCACGUCCAUUGGCCCACGGAGGCAUGGACACUCAGGACAUGGCCCAAAUGCUUUCUGCUCCCCUGGCUGAACAGUGAGCUAAUUUAAACCGGUAACGUCCGGGUAAACAGUGGCUUCAACUUGGGGGACAUCUUUUUAUCCAGGGUGUGAGCCAAUGCAGAAAAUAGUGGUCUUUAAGAAAUUGUUUUUAUAAAUGCAAUGUCCAUUUGUUCUGAGUACAAUCAUUUGAGAGUUUUUCUCCUUGCUUGAAGCUUGGAUCGGAACAAUGUAAUCCGUACUACACGUUGGUUCUCUUGAGUGACCUAAAAUAACUGCUAACAUGAGUAAAUA